GCGCACGUGGCGUAAUUGGUAGCCGCGCUAGACUUAGGAUCUAGUGCCUUACGGCGUGAAGGUUCGAGUCCUUUCGUGCGCA
RNAcentral lists this transfer RNA (82 nucleotides) under Muribaculaceae bacterium. RNAcentral describes it as "tRNA-Leu". It matches the Rfam family "tRNA". From Rfam's summary of the family: Transfer RNA (tRNA) molecules are approximately 80 nucleotides in length. Lineage: Bacteria; Pseudomonadati; Bacteroidota; Bacteroidia; Bacteroidales; Muribaculaceae. The record is from RNAcentral.